Molecule: ribosomal RNA, 254 nt
Filed under: uncultured prokaryote
Description: partial 16S ribosomal RNA
Rfam family: Bacterial small subunit ribosomal RNA
Source: RNAcentral
CACGUAGGCACCAAGCGUUGUCCGGAUUUAUUGGGCGUAAAGAGCUCGUAGGCGGUUCAGUAAGUCGGGUGUGAAAACUCUGGGCUCAACCCAGAGAGGCCACCCGAUACUGCUGUGACUUGAGUACGGUAGGGGAGCGGGGAAUUCCUGGUGUAGCGGUGAAAUGCGCAGAUAUCAGGAGGAACACCAGUGGCGAAGGCGCCGCUCUGGGCCGUAACUGACGCUGAGGAGCGAAAGCGUGGGUAGCAAACAGG